CUUGACUCGCGUUGACACUCAGAGCAAUCAAAUAUACAAAUUCUAGAAAAGAUAAAAUAUAGGGAUUUACAAGAAUAUAACCCACAUAACCUAAAGCCUAAAUGAGGCUCCUCAAAUCUUCAAGAGUGUACAAAAAAACAGUCCCAUGGAAAUAUUCAAGCGCAUCAGACAUUCAUCGGGUAUACACGCUAUGUCUUUCUGAUAACCGAGAGACAUUAAUCUGACGAUUAGUGAGCGGAAAGUUGUCAUAAAAAGAGACGCAAGCCACAUGAUUUACCUCAAUAUCCUAAUCAUGCUCACAGUAAAAAAAAACAGUGUUUUGAUGUCAAAUACUCAGCAUGAGAGCCUAAAAAUGAUAACUACGUUGUCGAAGCAGAAUAUGAAGAACUUAGGAUCUACCAUUUUUACGAACAUGGUGAUUAUUGCGGUCAGUUUUAGUUUUUCAUCAUAGGAAUUAAAGUGUUUCUCUUUUUUUCUUAAAAGCAAUUUAAAAUUUCUGUUAUUUUUUCAAUUAGCUUUCCCCUAAUACAUUGUUAGUCUAUUUUUUUCACUCUUAAUGCAAAACUUGGUAUUUAUAAAUUUCUAUAAAAAUUAUAUACAAAACUGUGUAUUUUAAA
Long non-coding RNA from Anthonomus grandis grandis, 617 nucleotides. RefSeq lists it as uncharacterized. The transcript is spliced from 2 exons. The record is from RefSeq and is a predicted model, not a curated record. NCBI's taxonomy places the organism in Eukaryota, Metazoa, Arthropoda, Insecta, Coleoptera, Curculionidae.